RNAcentral lists this long non-coding RNA (383 nucleotides) under Homo sapiens (human). RNAcentral's name for it is "HSALNT0139931". Lineage: Eukaryota; Metazoa; Chordata; Mammalia; Primates; Hominidae. The record is from RNAcentral.
UAACAUUACAGGAAAUCCAGAGAUGAUGUCUAAUGUUGAUUUAAUGAUAAAUACUUGUGUAUUACUUAGGAAUUCUGACAUGCUAAAUGCCAAGAAAAAAAAUCAGCCGAAAACAUCAGAAGAGAUUUUUGCGGAGGAAGACUAGGACAAGAACUCAGGAACCAGUGCACAAGCUAGACUUGGCAAGCUGAUUGGGCAGGGCACAUCCUGUGGCAGGUAACAUCACCAGCCAGAGGUCCCCAACUGGUAAGGAGACAAAGAAAAAUCCUGCAUCAAUGAUGUUUCCACCUAACUGUCAAAGGGUUCAGAGAGAGAGAAAAAAGGAAAUCAGAGAAUUAAUAAAGCAAAUUGGACAAAAUGUAAGCAACUUUUGAAUCUUGAUU